AGCCGCCGCUAGGGAGCCACCCGUCGCGCCUUCUCCUCGGGAGCCGCCGCGCACUUCGCCGCGGGGGAGCCGCCCGCCGCGCCCUUCGCUGCCCGAGCCGCUCAGCUUGGCCUCUGCCGUGGGGACAGCUUGCCCUCAUGCCACCCAACACGGUCUGCAGUCCGUCACAACCAUCCGAUAACUCACGCCAUACACUACAGGGUGGUCACUAACAUGAAUCUGAGGCGCUGCCAUUAUGCACGGUUAUGGAUAAACGACGACGGUUUUGGAUAAUCUGGUCUAAGAGCUUCUGGAGAAAAAAAUCCUAAUCAAGCAGUUUGGCAACAACAAUGCUGAGAUUAAGUUCAGCAAGGGAGCUGAACAACCUUUUAUAGUGUCCACUCUCACAAAUACUCUGGUCUGGUAAACUACAAGGUAGCCAGCUGCUAAUAAAGACAAGCCCAUGAGGAGAACUGGAUAUAAUGUUAACUCAUGUUCAACUGUUUUGCCUUUUCCCAUGAAGCUUUGCAACUGCAAGGCUCCGGUCUCUGUUAAUAUUAAUGUAAUACCAGGAGAUGAAGUGAUGGAGAUGAAUUUAGCAUUUUAACAAAUCAACCGGUCAAGCCACCAAAUCAUGAUCCUGUAAUGUUAUAGUACAACUUCGAAAGGAUGAGAUACUUUUGGUUUCAUGCUUAACGACAACUAUUUGGUACCACUCAAACUGGACACCGAAGCAAUUUUGAACUCAUGUCAAACAUGUUUGCUAUUUCCUUCAAUUUUUUCCUUUUAUUUCUGCACGAACUCCUCAGUAUGUACUUCCUGGUGCUAUAUAGUUUUUCCAUAUGCAAUCUGUGGACCAUCACACUCUGAAGUACAAUCGAUGGCUCUAUAUUUUUUAACUUGUCAGCUACAUUUAAAGCUAAUGUGAUGAUGAAAACUUAGCAUCAGUGCACUUUUGCCUACCCUACUCUACUCAAUUGCUAAGCCAGCAAGGAUAAAAGCUUGCCUUGCCUUUUGCCUUUUUGUGUGUGCUGGUAAGAACCCGAUUGUUAUCCUCUUCUCAUGGCCCUGUUAAGUACAAUCUUUGUUUAAAAAACCACAUAUAUAUUAUGAUUCAUAAUAGCAUUGCAACCUUGUAGGCAAAGGUUUGGAACACGCGGCGAUCAAAAUUUAUACAACAGCUUUCAGUAUAGUAUUCCGAGGAAUACUAAAUGGUCUAACGUGUCCUUAUUUGCCAGCGUUAAGGUCAACCGUAGUGCUAGCGCUUAGUGCUCUGUGUUCAAUUCUGGGGUGGCACGUGGCAGACCAAAGAUUGACAGAGCUUGUCAUUUUAUGAAUUUCAGGCUGUCAUUUUACUAAUUUGAAAAGGUUGGCCGCUGAAAACUUCAUUUAUGCACACAGACCAUCCAUGGAUUAGAUAGGAUGUACGAUGCAGUGGCUACAUCGACCGCCCCGAACUCGCCGAUGACUCCGGCCGGGCAGAUGGUGCCUUUGUGUGACAUUACAUCGAUGUCGUACACACACUCCAAAACUGACAAAAUAAUUUGACCAUGUGUGAAUUUUCAAUCUCUAAAUCUCUGAUUGCUGAUGAUGUGCAGGAUGGUUGAAAGAACAAAAAUGCCUUACCGUUUAGUACUGCUCAAAUUUGGGUACACGGUGUAGACCUGCACACCCUUUGAAUGGCUCAGACAAAACAUAUAGAAGUUUAUGGUCGUAUAUUGAGUUAUAUUACUACAGUAAGAAUAUUAUUCAAAUUGUUCACCAUGGUUUCCUAUAUUUCAAUGCCUGCAGGUUUUCCACCGGGAGAACAAGUUUCUAGAUACCUACAAUAUGAAUACUGAUUUUCUUGUUCUCUGUUUUUAUUGACAUUUUCAAUUAUGCAAUAUGAGUUUUUUUGCGGGUAAUUGUGCAAUAUGAGUUGAUAUGAAUAAAAUAGCGCAAGUAUUAUUGCUGACUAAUUACUAAAGUACCUCCCUUCCAAGAAGCCCUUGAACAAAGAACAAGGGAAUUUUGGAGUCCUGGUUUCACUACCUCCGAGGAUGUGGGAGCUGCCACCACCAUUGCUUCGUUCCAGAACUAAAGGUCCAAGGUAUAUGUUCUCGCUCCCUAAUAGUUGUCGUUUGCAUAUCAUGAGUAUAGUUUCCAGUAAGAUUGGCAGAAAAAGAUUAUUGUUUGCAGUAUUUUUUUAAGGAAGAGCUCCCUCUAGGGACAUUUCUUGUGAGCAACAUCUUACAUUUCAGAUUUUUAUGUCAAUAUAUGUCACUGCUAAAAACAUGAUUGAAUGGUCAAGGAACAUCACAAUAGUUCAUACAAGAAAUUGAGAAGGAUCUAGAAGAAAUGGUUUUCCUAGCUAAGAAGUGUGCUUUCUGGUUUGAUUUCUAAAAAUACGUCGGAAGAUAGCAUCGUUCGUGUAUCCCUUCCGGCGAAUGAGAUCGAUAGUGGGUCUCAGUGUCCAUUUGUGUGGACUCAUACUUGAGUCUUGGGUUGCUUUAAUACCAGUAGCAUUAUCUGAUGAGAUGAGGCAACCAUGUAUUGUCUAGCAUGAUGACUUCAGCCUACCGGUAGCAUUAUGUGAUGAAAUGAGGAGGCGACCAUGUAUUUUCCAGCAUGAUGACUUGAGCCGCAACAUCAGUUCCGAGUAGCCGAAGAAGUAACUGCAUGCACAUCUAUCGUAGAUUAGUGUUGGCGACACUGAAUAUAAAUUAAGACCCAUAGAGAGGGAUUUGUCAUAAUAAGCAUCUAUGUACAUUGCACUUAUAGUCCUCCGUCGAGUCACACGAGAGGGGUAUGCUGUUUUAUACCAUGUAGACUGACGAAUGUAAAUUUAGACUGCUACUUUUGGUUCCAAAGGAUUAACAAGAAAAACUCAUUUGUUUAUACAACCUUGCAGUUAUAAGUUUACUUUGCAAAUUUUAUCACACUAGCAAUGUCGUGUGCAGAGAUAUUUUGUUUCAACAAACUUGAUCAUGUGGACAUUGUUGUGUGCAGGCUAUAAGAAAAACUAUAUCUCUAUUUCCACUAGCAGGUAAAUGCAACCUGAAUGAAGAAGGCAAGCUAUAUUUCCUCAAGCUAUAUGUUAGGUUGCAUAUAUAGAACAAAGGUGAGGUCCUUAUCCUUGCUGGUUUGGCACGGCCGCAUCCCCAUGGCCAAUAAGCUGCUGCGCUACAGAUGGACAGGCAGUGAGAUUUGGUCGGCGUGUGGCUCUUGCCAAGAGACGACAAAUCACAUGUUCUUUGCUUGCAACUUUGCGAGGCAGGUAUGGCCAACAGUGGCCUUUUGGUCGUGAUACCAGGUGUUGUCUCCCCCAGUUCCUAGAACAUCACUCCCAUCUAUGACUGGUGGAUGGAGAUCAGUUUCCAAACGAGGAGAAAAGGCAUUUUCAUGGGGUCACCUCGUACUGCACUUGGCGAAUUUGAAAAGAUUGGAACAGUCAUAUUUUUUUUGCAUGACUACAGGGGGGAGUCAAGAUCAGAGAGUUAGUGAGGAUGAGGGAACAUGCCUUUGUUAGAGUUGUUCGGGAUGCAUGGUGGGGGCUGAGGUUUUGGGCCUGCUUUUUCCUCUCUGUUAGACAAAAAUAUAGCUGUAUGUGUCUGGUUGUAAACCUAUCUUCUUCUACUAACAUAUACAACAUCGCUCCUGUCAAGUUUUUUUAUUUAUUUUAAAAACUACAUUUGCUUGCAAUGGAUAUGAAUGUAUUUUCUUUAAAACGUAAUACUAGAAUACUUGUUUU
This is a long non-coding RNA of Triticum urartu, 3709 nucleotides long. RefSeq lists it as uncharacterized. The record is from RefSeq and is a predicted model, not a curated record. NCBI's taxonomy places the organism in Eukaryota, Viridiplantae, Streptophyta, Magnoliopsida, Poales, Poaceae.